Molecule: long non-coding RNA, 1068 nt
Filed under: Hordeum vulgare
Lineage: Eukaryota; Viridiplantae; Streptophyta; Magnoliopsida; Poales; Poaceae
Description: long non-coding RNA (HVUL_LNC009817)
Source: RNAcentral
UAGUUAUUCUCAACCAUCCGAUCUAAUCGGACAAUCCAAAUGGCCAUAAAUUUAACCCAUUUGCUAUAUAUAGUCCACGGCUAGUCCAAAAUCAGACAAACCCUAAUUUGUAGGAACCUACCCUAACAUCGCCAGCCACAUUCCCUCAGGAUCCACUCCCGAUCCACCUCCCCGGGAAACCACUGUAUCCAGCCAGCCAACCCAAUCUACUCCCUCUUCUCCACCGUUGGAUCGUGGAUGGAUGACCAUGAGAGCCUCCCAGCCCCUACGCUCGCUCGUACAGGCGCCUCUUGCCUUGGAGCUCAAUCCCUCAUUCUCGAGAGCUGCCGCCGCCUUCGUUCCGCCAUCGGCAGCCGCGUCGGCGAGCGCCGCCGCCGGACCUACAUCGCCAAAGGCUAGCCCUUAUUGCCCGCUGCAGUAGCUUCUCUCCUUUUUCCACGAACUCUCUCUCUCUCUAAUUUCCCUCUCACUGUCGUUCUAUCCCGGAGAUUCCAUGGCCGUGCCUAGUGAAGCCCCAACGUCGCCACCACGGGAACUGUCCGGAUCCGUUGAACAUCGCCCAGAUCCGGUGUCCCUCACCCAUGCAUCAUCCGCGCAUCCAAGGUCCAGCUCGCCCGCACUGUCGCUCCCCUGCAUCUCAAGGCACUGCGCGCAGCUCUCUGCAUGAAAGCAGUAACGCAAGUGCAGCAAACGUGCUUUCAUCGACCACGCGUGCACUCAUCUUGGGCUGGCCCAUCCGUCAGCCGUGACCUCCUCUGUGUGCGUCCCCAUCCACCAGACCCGAAGGCCCGACCUCCCUUGCCCAUUCCCAGCAUGGUCAUGGCCAUCAUCCUCUGUUUCCCGAUGUGUGAAUUGUAUCUGAACUUCGUAUUUUCGUAGAUCCGUUCUGGUUGUAGAGGUUAUUUAGACUUGGCACUAUAUUUGUCCACGAGCACAAUAUUACUGCAGUUCGCUAGACUAGCCAACCUGGACCUCGAGGUCCCGAGUUCGAAUUUCAGGUCCACCAAUUUUUGCAUGUUUCUCUUUAAUUGGACGCACACACACAUUGACCAAUUGGGUCGAUUCCCC